This 494-nucleotide ribosomal RNA is filed under the name uncultured bacterium. Its description in RNAcentral is "partial 16S ribosomal RNA". It matches the Rfam family "Bacterial small subunit ribosomal RNA", at positions 28 to 507 of the family's 1533-position model. The record is from RNAcentral.
GACGAACGCUGGCGGCGUGCUUAACACAUGCAAGUCGAACGGAAAGGCCUGCUUUCCCUUGUGGAUUGCGGGUACUCGAGUGGCGAACGGGUGAGUAACACGUGAGUGAUCUGCCCCCAACUUGGGUAUAAGCCUGGGAAACUGGGUCUAAUUCCCGAUAGGACUGCAGGGUGGUGCCUGUGGUGGAAAACGGUUUUCUAGUGGUUGGGGAUGAGCUCGCGGCCUAUCAGCUUGUUGGUGGGGUAAUGGCCUACCAAGGCGGCGACGGGUAGCCGGCCUGAGAGGGUGGACGGCCACAUUGGGACUGAGAUACGGCCCAGACUCCUACGGGAGGCAGCAGUGGGGAAUAUUGCACAAUGGGCGGAAGCCUGAUGCAGCGACGCCGCGUGGGGGAUGACGGCCUUCGGGUUGUAAACUCCUUUCGACCGCGAGGAAGCCACCUGGUUGGAAGGGUGGUGACGGUAGUGGUAGAAGAAGCACCGGCUAACUACGUG